This 371-nucleotide unclassified non-coding RNA is filed under the name uncultured Gammaproteobacteria bacterium. Its description in RNAcentral is "contains 16S-23S intergenic spacer region". Lineage: Bacteria; Pseudomonadati; Pseudomonadota; Gammaproteobacteria. The record is from RNAcentral.
UCCGGCUUAGCACCGGCAGUCCCACUAAAGUGCCAAAAUUAAUUGGGGCAACUAGUAGUAAGGGUUGCGCUCGUUGCGUCACUUAAGACAACAUCUCACGACACGAGCUGACGACAGCCAUGCAGCACCUGUGUCUAGGUUCCCGAAGGCACAAUCUAAUCUCUCAGAUCUUCCUAGCAUGUCAAGAGCAGGUAAGGUUUUUCGCGUUGCAUCGAAUUAAUCCACAUCAUCCACCGCUUGUGCGGGUCCCCGUCAAUUCCUUUGAGUUUUAAUCUUGCGACCGUACUCCCCAGGCGGUCUACUUCUCGCGUUUGCUUCGCUACUAAGAUAAAUCCCAACAGCAAGUAGACAUCGUUUAGGGCGUGGACUAC